AUUGAACGCUGGCGGCAUGCCUUACACAUGCAAGUCGAACGGCAGCAUGAUCUAGCUUGCUAGAUUGAUGGCGAGUGGCGAACGGGUGAGUAAUACAUCGGAACGUGCCCUGUAGUGGGGGAUAACUAGUCGAAAGAUUAGCUAAUACCGCAUACGACCUGAGGGUGAAAGUGGGGGACCGCAAGGCCUCAUGCUAUAGGAGCGGCCGAUGUCUGAUUAGCUAGUUGGUGAGGUAAAGGCUCACCAAGGCGACGAUCAGUAGCUGGUCUGAGAGGACGAUCAGCCACACUUGGACUGAGACACGGCCCAGACUCCUACGGGAGGCAGCAGUGGGGAAUUUUGGACAAUGGGCGAAAGCCUGAUCCAGCAAUGCCGCGUGUGUGAAGAAGGCCUUCGGGUUGUAAAGCACUUUUGUCCGGAAAGAAAUGGCUCUGGUUAAUACCUGGGGUCGAUGACGGUACCGGAAGAAUAAGGACCGGCUAACUACGUG
RNAcentral lists this ribosomal RNA (490 nucleotides) under uncultured bacterium. RNAcentral describes it as "partial 16S ribosomal RNA". It matches the Rfam family "Bacterial small subunit ribosomal RNA", at positions 30 to 507 of the family's 1533-position model. The record is from RNAcentral.